AACGAACGCUGGCGGCAUGCCUAACACAUGCAAGUCGAACGAGACCUUCGGGUCUAGUGGCGCACGGGUGCGUAACACGUGGGAAUUUGCCUCGGGGUAUGGAAUAACUCAGGGAAACUUGAGCUAAUACCAUAUAAUGUCUUCGGACCAAAGAUUUAUCGCCCUGAGACAAGCCCGCGUAGGAUUAGCUAGUUGGUGGGGUAAAGGCUCACCAAGGCGACGAUCUUUAGCUGGUCUGAGAGGAUGAUCAGCCACACUGGGACUGAGACACGGCCCAGACUCCUACGGGAGGCAGCAGUGGGGAAU
This 306-nucleotide ribosomal RNA is filed under the name uncultured bacterium. RNAcentral describes it as "bacterial SSU rRNA". It matches the Rfam family "Bacterial small subunit ribosomal RNA", at positions 29 to 362 of the family's 1533-position model. The record is from RNAcentral.